This is a long non-coding RNA of Galeopterus variegatus (Sunda flying lemur), 377 nucleotides long. RefSeq lists it as uncharacterized. The record is from RefSeq and is a predicted model, not a curated record. The transcript has 3 exons. Lineage: Eukaryota; Metazoa; Chordata; Mammalia; Dermoptera; Cynocephalidae.
CGCCUGCUCCUCGUCCUUCUCCUGCUGCCUCCGCUCGCCGCCUCGUCCCGACCCCGCGCCUGGGGGGCUACUGCACCCAGCGCUCCGCAUUGGAAUGAAACUGCAGAAAAAAAUUUGGGAGUCCUAGCAGAUGAAGAUAAUACAUUGCAACAGAAAAGCAGCAGUAAUAUCAGUUACAGCAAUGCAAUGCAGAAAGAAAUCACACUGCCUUCAAGACUCAUAUAUUACAUCAACCAAGACUCGGAAAGCCCUUAUCAUGUUCUUGACACAAAGGCGAGACACCAGCAAAAGCAUAAUAAGGCCGUCCAUCUGGCCCAGGCAAGCUUCCAGAUUGAAGCCUUUGGCUCCAAAUUCAUUCUUGACCUCAUACUGAACAA